Molecule: non-coding RNA, 123 nt
Organism: Myotis lucifugus (little brown bat)
Lineage: Eukaryota; Metazoa; Chordata; Mammalia; Chiroptera; Vespertilionidae
Source: Rfam
AGCUUUGUGCAGUGGCAGUAUCGUAGCCAAUGAGGUUUAUCCGAGGCAUGGUUAUUGCUAAAACAAACAAGUAAACAUAUAUAUAUAUAUAUAUAUAUAUAUAUAUAUAUAUAUAUAUAUAUA